This 810-nucleotide long non-coding RNA is filed under the name Monodelphis domestica (gray short-tailed opossum). RNAcentral's name for it is "lncRNA (ENSMODG00000033729.2)". The record is from RNAcentral. Lineage: Eukaryota; Metazoa; Chordata; Mammalia; Didelphimorphia; Didelphidae.
UUUGAACAGAAUUGCCAUUUUGAAGAGAGAUGCACUUAAGUCAAGUCUGUCAUUGACUAUUUUGGAAAUCCUGGAUUCAAAUCCUGGUAUUCACUGUACUAGGAUAUUCUCAUCCAAAAGAUCUCUCAUGAGUUAAUUAAAAUUGAAACGCAGUCCCAUUUUUUUAUACUAAAACGAGUCUUUUGUGGAUGCCACAUUCUAUAAAAGAGCAGAAAAGGUAGGGCACAUUUCCUACCAUAUUUUUCUUGCUACCUACUCCAGCCUGUAAAACAAAUAAUACCACCAGGCCAUUGGAUAACCACACGGGACCAUUUCUUGGCACUCACAGCUCUGCAGACACCAGCAGCUGACUAGAAGGAGGAGGACUGUGAAUCGUCUAGUAAAGAUUCUUUCAUUUUUACAUUGGCCCUUGACGAGCAAACAUACAGGCCAUUACCAGACCGAAACCUCUCAUGUUUACGUCUUUGCAAGACCUGCAGGAGAUGGUGCUCCAUUAACCUUGGAUUGCAGAACCCAGGACCACGUCCACCCAGAUGAGGCAUCAGACUUAGAGGGUGCAAGAAGAAAAUGGCAACCACUCCAGUCUCUUUGGCAAGAAAACCUCAAAGGGUUCCUAGAGAGUAGGACAGGACUGAACAGCUGAACAACAAGGGAGCUGGAGAAGACAACAAUGAAGAGAGGUGAUUGGGAAGCAGGAAGAAGAGCUCACUGUGGUUUCCAGCAUUAAACUAUUAGAUAAAAGUUCAAUGGAAGAAAACUCCUUGGUCUGAGGAAUGUGAGACCAAGAAUACAGAAGAACAAGAAACAAAA